AGCAGAGUCCAGACUAGCUACCUGGAUUAGAAGUAGAAUCGCGGGGUUGGGGAUUUAGCUCAGCGGUAGAGCGCUUGCCUAGCGAGCGCAAGGCCCUGGGUUCAGUCCCCAGCUCCGGAAAAAAAAAGAAAAAAAGAAAAAAAAAAGAUUCUAACUUUAGGGGUUGGGAAUUUAGCUCAGCGGUAGAGCGAUUGCCUAGCAAGCGCAAGGCCCUGGGUUCGAUCCCCAGCUCCGGAAAAAAAAAAAAAAAAGAGAGAAGUAGAAUCGCAAGGUGACUGGAGGGCUUUUGUUCCCAUGGUGAUGUAGGAUGUACCUGGGCACUAGACUCAGCUCAGAGGAGGACACUCAGGCCAAGAGACAAGAAUCUGAGAGCUAUUGUCAGGACCAUCUGGAGACUCCCCUGGGCUAGCAGCAGGUGGAAACCGUAACUUUUAUGAGAGGCUGUGCCACCCAUUGGGCUGUGCUCUGGGGCACGGCCUAGUAAGCUAGCACCACCCACACGAAGGCCUGUUAUCUCUGCCAUCUGCCUUCCUUCAGUAGUAGGAAGGUUCGGAUCAGGGAUCCCUCCUCAGACCCCCCAGGUCAAUCCUGCUUUUAAGGAUGGUACCAUACCAGGCACGGAGAAGACUCAAAUAGGGUUCUAGUUCUUGGGGUCCCCAGUUGACAAAACUUCACGUAAGCUCGUAAACAUCGAACCAUUUAACUGAACUGGGGUGGGGAGGGGUUUUUUAUUUAUAACACUGCCAACCCUUGUGGUACAAGCAAUCCCACUGUGGCCAAUCCUAUUUCAAUUUUAAAUUACUAACACAAUGGCAAGCCCAUUGCAAAAUUCCUGAAAAUCAACAACUGGUUCUCCCCUCCCCAACCCCCGGGGCUUGUGGGGGAGGGCAGUGCGGCUGAUUAGGCAAGAUCUGGGGUAACCAAAGGCGGCCUUUGAAUUUGCCACGUAGCUGAGGCUGGCCUUGAACUCCUUACCCUCUUGCCUCUAUAGAGAAAGUGCUGGGAUUGCAGGCAGAUGACACACCUGUCCAACAACUGGUUCAUAAAGGCAGAUGCAGGGUACUUCACACACACCCGUGCUGGGCAGCUGGGACUGCCAGGGAGAGGUCCUUAGCAUACAUGAAAGUGGACAGGGACAGCUCUGGGGUUUAGGCAGGAAUAGACAAAGGUGACAAGCCUCACGACCUCAGGGACAGGAGGUCCCUGUGAGGGCCCUGCCUACCUCCUGUAUCUCCCCUCUCCCCUGUCAGCCAUUAAAGAUGAGGCAUCCUCAGUUGCCCUCUG
Molecule: long non-coding RNA, 1284 nt
Filed under: Rattus norvegicus (Norway rat)
Lineage: Eukaryota; Metazoa; Chordata; Mammalia; Rodentia; Muridae
Description: long non-coding RNA NONRATT002987
Rfam family: tRNA (bases 49-111)
Source: RNAcentral